CAACCCUCAAGCCCCGCUUGGUGUUGGGGCCCUACGGUUUGACGUAGGCCCUUAAAGGUAGUGGCGGACCCUCCCGGAGCCUCCUUUGCGUAGUAACUUAACGUCUCGCACUGGGAUCCGGAGGGACUCUUGCCGUAAAACCCCCAAAACUUUUACA
RNAcentral lists this unclassified non-coding RNA (157 nucleotides) under uncultured Colletotrichum. RNAcentral describes it as "sequence contains ITS2". The record is from RNAcentral. Lineage: Eukaryota; Fungi; Ascomycota; Sordariomycetes; Glomerellales; Plectosphaerellaceae.